UACGUAGGGUGCGAGCGUUAAUCGGAAUUACUGGGCGUAAAGCGUGCGCAGGCGGUUUGUUAAGUCAGAUGUGAAAGCCCCGGGCUCAACCUGGGAAUGGCAUUUGAAACUGGCAAGCUUGAGUAUGGCAGAGGGGGGUGGAAUUCCGCGUGUAGCAGUUAAAUGCGUAGAGAUGCGGAGGAACACCGAUGGCGAAGGCAGCCCCCUGGGCCAAUACUGCCGCUCAGGCACGAAAGCGUGUGGAGCAAACAGU
RNAcentral lists this ribosomal RNA (253 nucleotides) under uncultured bacterium. RNAcentral's name for it is "partial 16S ribosomal RNA". It matches the Rfam family "Bacterial small subunit ribosomal RNA", at positions 524 to 776 of the family's 1533-position model. The record is from RNAcentral.